This 614-nucleotide ribosomal RNA is filed under the name uncultured bacterium. Its description in RNAcentral is "bacterial SSU rRNA". It matches the Rfam family "Bacterial small subunit ribosomal RNA", at positions 338 to 945 of the family's 1533-position model. The record is from RNAcentral.
CCUACGGGAGGCAGCAGUGGGGAAUCUUGCGCAAUGGGCGGAAGCCUGACGCAGCAACGCCGCGUGCGGGAAGAAGGCCUUAGGGUCGUAAACCGCUUUCAGGGGGGACGAAGCUUCCGGGGUUAAUAGCCUACGGGGUGACGGUACUCCCAAAAGAAGGUCCGGCUAACUACGUGCCAGCAGCCGCGGUAAUACGUAGGGACCGAGCGUUGUCCGGAAUCAUUGGGCGUAAAGAGCGUGUAGGCGGCCUAGUAGGUCUCGUGUGAAAUCCCGUGGCUCAACCACGGACACGCACGGGAAACCCCUAGGCUCGAGUCCGGAAGAGGAGAGCGGAAUUCCUGGUGUAGCGGUGAAAUGCGCAGAUAUCAGGAAGAACACCCGUAGCGAAGGCGGCUCUCUGGGACGGUACUGACGCUGAGACGCGAAAGCGUGGGGAGCAAACAGGAUUAGAUACCCUGGCAGUCCACGCCGUAAACGAUGGAUGCUAGGUGUGGGAGGUGUCGACUCCUCCCGUGCCGAAGCUAACGCAUUAAGCAUCCCGCCUGGGGAGUACGGCCGCAAGGCAAACUUAAAGGAAUUGAACGGCUGAGAGUGCGAGCGACGACGAGGAGAGG